GAAAAUGUAGCUUAGAGGCAGGGCUCAUGCUUUAAAAGCAUGAGGCCCUGGAUUUGAUCCCUAGCCUCA
Molecule: non-coding RNA, 69 nt
Organism: Heterocephalus glaber (naked mole-rat)
Lineage: Eukaryota; Metazoa; Chordata; Mammalia; Rodentia; Bathyergidae
Source: Rfam